GUGCCAGCCGCCGCGGUAAUACGGAAGGUCCGGGCGUUAUCCGGAUUUAUUGGGUUUAAAGGGAGCGCAGGCCGGCUUUUAAGCGUGACGUGAAAUGUAGACGCUCAACGUCUGAAUUGCGUCGCGAACUGGAGGCCUUGAGUGCAUACGACGUGGACGGAAUUCGUGGUGUAGCGGUGAAAUGCUUAGAUAUCACGAAGAACUCCGAUUGCGAAGGCAGUCCACGAGUCUGUAACUGACGCUAAAGCUCGAAAGUGCGGGUAUCGAACAGGAUUAGAUACCCUGGUAGUCCGCACGGUAAACGAUGGAUGCCCGCUGUUGGCGAUACAAUGUCAGCGGCCAAGCGAAAGCGUUAAGCAUCCCACCUGGGGAGUACGCCGGCAACGGUGAAACUCAAAGGAAUUGACGGGGGCCCGCACAAGCGGAGGAACAUGUGGUUUAAUUCGAUGAUACGCGAGGAACCUUACCCGGGCUUGAACUGCAGCAGAACGAUUCAGAGAUGAUGAGGUCCUUCGGGACUGCUGUGGAGGUGCUGCAUGGUUGUCGUCAGCUCGUGCCGUGAGGUGUCGGCUUAAGUGCCAUAACGAGCGCAACCCCUUUCGUCAGUCGCCAUCAGGUUAAGCUGGGCACUCUGGCGACACUGCCACCGUAAGGUGUGAGGAAGGUGGGGAUGACGUCAAAUCAGCACGGCCCUUACGUCCGGGGCUACACACGUGUUACAAUGGGUGAUACAGAGCGUCGGCUGAUGGCAACAUCAGUCCAAUCGUGAAAGUCAUCCUCAGUUCGGAUUGGGGUCUGCAACCCGACCCCAUGAAGCUGGAUUCGCUAGUAAUCGCGCAUCAGCCAUGGCGCGGUGAAUACGUUCCCGGGCCUUGUACACACCGCCCGU
RNAcentral lists this ribosomal RNA (889 nucleotides) under uncultured bacterium. RNAcentral describes it as "bacterial SSU rRNA". It matches the Rfam family "Bacterial small subunit ribosomal RNA", at positions 505 to 1397 of the family's 1533-position model. The record is from RNAcentral.